This 3464-nucleotide long non-coding RNA is filed under the name Anas platyrhynchos platyrhynchos (common mallard). RNAcentral describes it as "lncRNA (ENSAPLG00000030428.1)". Lineage: Eukaryota; Metazoa; Chordata; Aves; Anseriformes; Anatidae. The record is from RNAcentral.
GUUUGAUUUUUCAAUGAGUUGUUUCCCCUUGGUUAGCAUUCUCAAGAGCUGUACCCAUAUCCUGUGGUUUGGUUUCGUGCUGUUGGUGCAGGAUAGGCCACUGAGGUUUACGGGUCAACAUCUGUAGCCUGACUCUGAGGUGGUGGCCAGGCCAGAGAAUACCAGCUCUGGUUUUUCAAAUGUGUGGACAGCUGAAACUUUGAUGAAACCCUUCUGUCUUCCACCCCUCUCACUCUCCUGUCCCUCCAUUCCAGGAGAGACCUGCAGGGGAGUUUGCACCCCCUCAGCUAAAGGAAUUUCUUACAUGAUAGAGAUCUGGUCAAGAGAAGUAAGAACUCAGCUGACUGAAAGAUUGGGCAGUUUCCAAUUAUGAACUCAUUCUGCCCAGAUAAAAUCAUAUUGCAAAACCACUUGCAGCUGCUUUCUGAAGCUGGUCAUUCUUGGACUGUGUCUGCGAGUAGCCUUUUCCGUAGGUUACUCAGACCUAAUUAGCAAAUUCCUGUUAAGAAUGGACAUACGCAAUGUUAGCCCUGUUGACAUUUAUGUCCAGGCCUGAACUCCCAGUACAUUUGCUGAGACAUUUUAUAAGGCCCUACCGCACACCCAGAGCUGCUCCUUGCUUUCUCCAGCCCCCUUGGUGAGCCUGGCACAGCAUCCCCACCAAGACCCUUCAUGGCCUGGGGAAGCCACCCACAGAAACAGAAGGCUAAUUUGGGCAUAUUGUGGCUCCCCAACUCAAGGUGUCCCGUCCCUGUGAAAUCUUGGAAGGAGCAAAUGAUGGAACUGGCAAUGUUGUCCAACCACUGCAAUAGGAGAAAAGAUCCAGAGGUACCUAAACAUAGACUUCAGAAAUAAGCAAAGGACAGUGUAAAAACACAGCAAUUCAAUGCCCCAUGCUGCAAGAGGAUCGUAUUAAUCCUGAGGAAGCAUGGUGUUCUUGUUUCCAGUCCUCCUCUUGUUGUUGAAGGUGAAGUCUUGGCCCUGCAGUGCUCAGUGACAGUGGUGCCACUGACCUGCAAACAUGAUUUUUCUCUGCUCCCAGUGCAGUUGUGCUAUCUAUUGCUUGAACAAUGUGAGAGGCAAAAAGUCCACCGCCCCCCCUAAGUCCUGAAUUCCUUUUGUGCAGACAACUUUUUGGCCUGUACUCCUACCUAAAGGGCCCUGGGGGAAAGCACUUCUUCCAGUUCUCUUUGUUGAGAAGACUCUUCAGUUAGCAUGCCAGAGAAAUUAAACUGGUGGGAUAGAGAGUAUGAGAGGUAGAGUGGAAGAGAAAGGGUGAGUGAGUACAAAUUAUUUCAUUAUGAACUUUCCAUGAAAUAGCAAGGGUAGAGUUAGGGGUGGGAGAAUGUUAAUUUACGGCAGAAUGUUUUUGCAGCCCUUCUUCAACUAGUUGCAUUAUAGGAAGAUAAAUACAGCCCAAGCCAAAUCUUCCUCUGGGCUAAGCCUGCUAGUUUGAAGAUUUAUGUGCAACUUGUAUGCAGCCUGAUCAUUUCACCGUGUGACUGAACAAAGGUCUUCACUUGCAGUGUAGGAUGUUGUUAAAGGCAUCAAUAUUCAGAACUGGAGCACAGCAGGAAGCUGCCUGAUGAGGCCGUUACUAAAUUUCAGUGGCCAAAAGCAACUUGUUGAUCUCGGUGAAUGUGUUGCUCACAGCACAGGGUAUGAGGCUAUCUCACAGUACAGCAAACACGAGGCUUUUUUUGUCAGUGACCAUGCAGAAAAGCCAAGCUCUGUUUGUUCGGCAAGAAAAUGCUUACACUAGCUUAUUUUUUCCCCUGAAACUCAGCUUUCCUAAUUCUGUGUGGGAGGGCUUUUUUCCAGGCUUUUUAAAGUAAUAUCAGUAUUAUAGCUAAUGAGGCAGUGGAAAGCAAGCUGGUCCAUUCGCUGUAGCUAAUGACUCCAUUCCCGUGAGCCUAAUCAAAGAUUUGUACAUUUAAUUGCUGUCAAGUCAGCUCUAGCCACCUGCCAUUUCUGCCACACCUGAGCUCCUUUCUCAGUGGCCUGUGAUUCUAAAUGAAUCCAUCUCUUUUUCUAAGGGAAGGAAAACAGAGCUGCCAAGCAACCUUGAAGUGGUGCUUUACCCUUAGAGCAAAGAUCAAACAGUCUGCGUUGUCACUGAGCAAUAUGUAUCUUAACUGUCUGUGGCACAGAUUUUUUGAAAAUUUAUUAACCUCAUAUUGGAGAUCAGGGAAGUGAGAAAUACACCCUUGUCUGGACAUGUCUUGGACUUGAGACAGGUUUCUGUCAGAGGCAAAAGUGAUUUUUGUUGGCUCACCACUGAACAAAGUUGAAAUACAUUUAUUUGCAAUUUUCUCUGAUGGAAAAUACCACUGAAGCCAUUAUUCCACUCCUGCAGUGGGCUGGUGGGGUAUUUUGACCAACCUUUGUCCUCAGCAUCACGGUUCCUAAACAUCCUGCCUUCUCCAUAGGGAGUUGAUGCAGGAAAUGUUGUGGGGCCAUGUUCAUUUGAAUGUAAGAGAUAACUCUUGUUCAUUGUUCCAGAAAAAAAAAAAAAAAAAAAAAAAGGGUGAGGGGUAGGGGGUGGGGGGAAUGACCCAGUUCCUGCUAACAUAUUGUGAAAUGAAAAUGUUCUUUGUGGUCCUCAGUGGAUUAGCUUACCUCUGUCCAAGCAAGUGUCACUACUAAGAGUCAGAUAUCUAAUGUUAUGUACUUCUUCAAACUUACUUCCAGAGAAGCUUUUAAAGUCGUUAGAAAAGAAGCAGUCUAUGAAGUCACUCUGAAACGUUAUUAGUUUCUAAAUAACUGUUCAUUUUUUAGACAAAUGAUUUCCUGGUGAUAUUGGGAAUUAUGUGAUCAUGUGUUGUGAUCAGUCUGCCUGAUCAUCCCUCACUAGUUGUUUGCCUAUUCUUGGCCAAGUUUAGCCCUAUUUAAGACAGGAAGACAACUGUGAGAGAGAUUACAUUGCAGUUUCAUGAAAAUAAGUAUACCCAAGUGGAGAUGCAAGACUCCAAAAAUCCAUCCUACGAAUGUCCCAAGUAGGAGAAGCCUGGCAAGUGAAUUCAUAUGUUGUUAGCAAAAGAAGAGAGACCAUAUGGGUGCCCCAACCACAGGGAUAACCUUAGCUGGAGAUUACCGUAAACCACAAGCACAGGUCUGUGGAAUAUGAGGCAUCAUUGAUUUUCAUUCUCACAGAAGUAUUUGGUUUCCUCUCUCAACACAUCACGGAAAGCAAAGACACAAAUAAGAUAUAUAAGAUCUUUGACUGGAUACGAUGAAUUUCUUUGUAAGUAGUUUGAUCCAAAUAUAAACUGAAGUUCUUUUGCCAAUAAUGGAAAAGCUUUCCAAUAGCUUUUAAUACAAUUUACUUCAAUUUUAGGAGCUCUUCCUCUGCCAGAAGAGUUUAAUUGGCCAUGAAGUCCUGGGAGUUUUUACAUUGUGAGUUGACAGAUGCAUAGCUUAAUUUAGCAGGAAAACCAAAGAAUAAAUUAAAGGAUCUGAAAACA